UCUUGAGAACUGUUUGCUAAUCUUGUUCCCAGAAUGUACUGUCCCCAACUGCCAAACUGCAGAAUGUACUCCCUCACUCAGUUGCAGGCAAACCGCCCACUCGCCCUGACCCGUCAAUGAACUUCCCUCCCUGCCCUCUCCAAGGAAAGUAUAUAAGCUCUGCUUAAGCUGUUCUCAGGGCUCUUUGCUCUAUUCAAGUGAGCUCUGAGCCCCAGCAUGCUGGACCCCCAAUAAACCCUUUGCUGUUGCAUGAGACAGUCUCUUGGUAGUCUCUUCCUCCCACGCUCGCCCGACCUUUACAUAUGGAGGUUCCACUGAGAUCCGGCAGUGGCGGACGAAAGACCCCCAAUGGGCUCCUCUCGGGGUAAGUAAGGCGCCUCUUUCUGGUUUCUGGUUUCAGGUUUCAGGAUAGGGCUUGGCAAAAUUGCUGUCGGUGAAGAGCAUGAGCUCUCUCCGACAGUGGCUGACAGACGUGUCACAGAGCCACAGACCACGUCCCUGGGGGACGCCCCAGAGGACUCGGGAAAUCGAGGAACAAUAGUCUCCUCGACUCAGUGAUAUUUUGUUUCUGAUUCGGCAUUGCCAGCCUAUCGGGUUUUGCCGGCUACUCAGUCCUGGUCUCAGUGUUGGACGUCCAUUGCCUGUCUUUAUUGUCUUGUCUUGUCUGUGUCGUGUGUCAUUGCUUCACUGUUUGUGUAUCUUUCAUUAUGGGACAGAGCACUUCAAUGCCUCUGUCCCUGACCCUUGAUCACUGGACCAAAGUCCGCUUAAGGGCUCAGAAUCUUUCUUUUUCAGUAAAACGCCGGACCUGGCAGACUCUCUGUGCCUCAGAAUGGCCCACCUUUGGAGUCGGAUGGCCCCCAGGAGGAUCUUUCUACUCCCCACUAAUUCAAAAAGUCAGAGAUAUUGUCUUUCAGCCGGGGCUACAUAGCCAUCCAGAUCAACAGCCGUAUAUCUUAACUUGGCAAGACCUCUGCGAAUCUCUUCCUCCAUGGGUGAAGCCUGUCCUUGUCCCUGCCCCCGCUCCUAUUCCUUCCCCCAAGAUUCUAUCUCUCAAACCUUCUGCUCCUCCUCCUCCUCCACCCUCUGUUCUCCCUGAGUCUCUAGAUUUGACUCUACUGGACUCUCCUCCCCCUCCUUAUCUCCUGCCCUUGUCCCCCAACCCCCAACACCCUCUAAGUGAUUCCCCUGCUGCUGACUCAGCCUCUCCACCAUUGGAGGAAGCUGAGCCGGCCCAGCGCCCUCUAGAUGACUUCCCCAUGGCACACACAGCCCCUCCUCCCCUGGAGGAAGCUGGCCCGGCUAAAGAAACUCGCCAGCGGCGAAUGAAUAAAAACCCUGAAGCCCCCGUGAUACUCCCCCUCCGUCCUUAUGGGCCAAUGAUUGACAAUGGCCAUGGAGGAGAAAUGCAAGCCUACCAGUAUUGGCCUUUCUCCUCUUCAGACCUAUAUAACUGGAAAAAUAACAAUCCCCCUUUUU
RNAcentral lists this long non-coding RNA (1479 nucleotides) under Marmota monax (woodchuck). Lineage: Eukaryota; Metazoa; Chordata; Mammalia; Rodentia; Sciuridae. The record is from RNAcentral.